Molecule: ribosomal RNA, 117 nt
Filed under: Oncorhynchus mykiss (rainbow trout)
Lineage: Eukaryota; Metazoa; Chordata; Actinopteri; Salmoniformes; Salmonidae
Source: RNAcentral
GCUACGGCCACACCGGCCUGAGUACGCCUGAUCUCGUCCGAUCUCGGAAAGCUAAGCAGGGUCGGGCCUGGUAGUACUUGAUGGGAGACCGCCUGGGAAUACCAGGUGCUGUAAGCU